AUGUGAGGGUGAUCUGGCUGAGACAUCUGUCACCCCAUUGAUCACCAGAGUUGAUUGGGCUGAUCUGGCUGGCUAGGCGGGUGUCCCCUUCCUCCCUCACUGCUCCAUGUGCAUCCCUCCCAAAGCUGUGCACUUGGUGGAAGAGGACAAUCAUCCCAGAUAGAAGGAGUGUACCGAUCUUCGGUCAAGGGUAUACGACAGCUGCGCUCCCCUGCUAAAACCUCCAAACAAGCUCAAGUAUUGCUGUUUUAAGUGGGUGAAGGAGGGACAAGAAAAAAAAUUGACUUGACUGCAUAUCAAAUCUGAUUUUGAUCAGAUAUUUAUGAU
Molecule: small nuclear RNA, 327 nt
Filed under: Ophiophagus hannah (king cobra)
Lineage: Eukaryota; Metazoa; Chordata; Lepidosauria; Squamata; Elapidae
Description: 7SK RNA
Rfam family: 7SK RNA
About the family: 7SK was discovered as an abundant small nuclear RNA in the mid-70s but a possible function has only recently been suggested. Two independent studies have found that 7SK RNA binds the CDK9/cyclin T complex (known as elongation factor P-TEFb). P-TEFb activates transcription by phosphorylating the C-terminal domain of RNA polymerase II.
Source: Rfam by way of RNAcentral